CUGACUGUGACAUGGCACAUCCAAAAUGGCUCCCACAUUGUCCACGCGGGUACAGGACACCUCUCCCGUGUCUGCACUGAAAUGGCCAUUCACAACGCAGAUGGCACCUACAGUAUCCGUAGCGGCAUCACUCUGCACUCCUCAGCAGUGAAAGAUGGAGCAAUACUUAUCAUCUGCCAGGUGGAGCACCAGACCUUCAACCGGAUGUACAACAGAUCUGUUACACUCACAGUUCAAGCUCCCUCACAGCCACAUUACAGUGCUGCCACACUGAUUGCUGUCACCAGUGUCAUCAUUUUGCUGCUGGUCAUCUCUGUUAUUGGAGGCACUUUUCUUCUCUACAGGUAUUUCUGCAAAGCUCCUCCAAGUGUUUCUGAAAUCAGCCAGCCCAGCAUCAUAUAUGCUCAGGUGCCUUUCAACCUCAAAUGCACCAUCCAAGGAGCGUUACAGCGGGAGCUCGAAGUGAAAUGGUUUCAAUUAAGAGGCAACACAGACUCACCGGCCCUGUUAGACUCUGUUCCUCUGAUGCUGAAAGAGGAUUUGAGUGAACAGGCUAGUCUCCAGUCUGAUGGCAGACACCACACGUCUGUCCUGACUGUGUGUCUCACUGUUGCUGAUGAUCCCACUGAUUACCUGUGUGUGGUGCAGUGCAGGGGCAAGAGCUUCCGCAGAGAGACUGCAGUCCGAGUGAAAGUAGAGCCAUCUUUCCUCCAGAUCUCCAGUAUCCCUCAGAUCCCCAAGGUGGAGAGGCUGCUGGUUCUGUGCUGUCGGGUGGAGAACUUCUACCCGCAGCACAUAGAGCUUGAGUGGUCCAGGAAUGACGGAGAGAAGGUCUGCACUGUCACACACUUUGGACCUUUCUCUGACCACAACCGCCUGUACAGCAUGUGGAGUAAGAUCGAGCUGGUCAUGGCGAGAGAGGAUGAGAGAGCCGUCUACACCUGCCGCGUUUACCACUCCAGCUUCUCUGCUCCGGGCUACAAAGAUGUCCUGUACCACAUCAAUACUCAAGGAACUCCUCCUAAUGUGAUGUUCAUUGACUGUGAGCCUCUGUGCCCUCUGUUGAAUGAAGCAUGCACGCUGCACCUGUGCAUCAAAGACUUCUGUCCAGAGGACGUGUCAGUGACCUGGACUAAAGAUGGAGAGACAAUUUGCUCCGGCGUCUUCAACACUCCACCGAGCCUGAACAUCAACGGCCUCUACUCCAUGUUCAGUUUUCUCAAACUCACUCCCGACAAUGACAACCAGGGCUCCAAGUUCAUGUGCACAGUGGUCCACAGCGCCCAGAAAGAGCCUGAGGAGAGGCUCUACACACUGCCCCACCUGUACCUGACAGACACCAGCUGACAUCCUCAUUAAAACUGUUGUAUUCUAGUCUACAGGAGUCUGGUUUGCGAAAGCUGGGAGACAGAACCUGGGUUUGGGACUGAUGACGGUUCAGUCAUUAGUGUCCACCUCUGAUAUGAUGGACAUGCUCCAUGGCUCUUUCCACAGUACAGAGUACCAAGUACUGAACACUGAUGCAGUCAGACAGGCUACAUAGUAAAUAAACACUGAAGACAUUCAAAGUAUGAAAUUUCAACUACUGUAGUAAUUCAUAUAAUGAAAAACUCAACCAGUCAGGAGAAUCAACAGUCUUCAAGUGCAGUUGACACUCUUCAGCAUUCUUUAGCGACUUGCCAUUUGAUCUACAGGACAGUUUAACAGGACAGUGAACCAAACACACCUGCAGGCUCUGUAAGGACUAUUUGACCAAGAAUGGAAGUGAGUACUGUUGAGAUUUAAGUUGAGAUGGUUUGGGAUGAGUUGGACCACAGAGUGAAGGAAAAGCAUUCAGAUAAAGUGUCAAUCUUAUAGCCUGCAGGAUGAACAUGUUCCUGGUGGUGAGGCUCUGUCUCUGGAUGGCAGCAGGCAGAGCAGUUUGUGGUGGGCUGAUCAGACCAAGAAGCAGCAAACUUGAUGAUGGUUUUGGAGGACAACACACUCCACUAGGAAGCUCCAGCAUUUAAUGAGAAAACAGUGUAUCGAUAGUCUGUGCAGCAUUUUAGAAAAUAAAAGUAUAUAUAGUAUAAAAGUACAAGUAGUAAACAAACUGCUUUAAUUGUCUGAUGAUAGUUCAAUAAUGCACUGUUUGUUUCUCUGUGAGGAAACACAUGAUGUCCAGUAACAUUCACAUCUUCUGACCUGUAUGAGAGCCCCGUGCUCUCCCUCAGGUCUGCUUGAUUCUUUGAGUUUUAACAAGAUAAAGUAGCCAGUAUCAAUAUCCACACAUACAUACAUUCAAUACAUUAUAUGUUGCACAAUAAUGAAGAGCUUGCUUAGUGCUGAGUAGGAAAAUACAGAUGAUGUGGAUCUUCAUACUAAAUGUGCAGAGGCUACAAACCCAACAGUAAGUUAACACAGUGAGGCAUUUGGCAGCUAGAGACAGGUUUUUCUCAGCCAGUGGAGACACAAAGAGCAAAAGAGGAGUGGAUACUGGACUUGAAUAAAUGAGGUGGACAUCAGCUUCAUUAAGGUGAUUUAAUGUCAGUGCUGUGUUUUCAGCUUGUUCUGAUUCUGCCUUGUCACUGCUGUUUAAAAAACUUGAACUUUAACAACACACUUGUUUUACACUUGUUGGUUGCUUAUCAUUUCAUUGAAAUACAAACAACCCCAAGUCAUAUAAUUUAAAUAGUUCAACCAAUAAACUGAAGAUGGCUGUUGCUGAAAUUUAUUGGAAAACACCCACCAAUACAAAAUAAAGAUCUUCAGUCAAUCAAUUGGUCCUUAAAGGUUUUGUCAUUUUAUUCUUGCGAGGAAGAGGAACAGUUCUACAAAUGCACAGUUUGCAGAAUAUGUUCAGUAUGGGGCAGUCCCACGCUGAUUCUGAUACACUUCUAGGAGUAUUUCUCAUUAUUAUGAUUUACUAUCUGUCACCGGUGGCCACAGUGGAAUGUAUCCAUCACUAUUAAACCUCACUAACAAGCUCUGCCUGACCGUGUGAACCAAGGUCAAGUUUACACAUCAAACACCUACUUCUUCAAACAACUUGCAUAAAUGAGAGAAAUAUUUCUAAGUGAAAGGUACUGGGUAAAACCAAACAAGACUAUAAGGCACACAGUGUUCUACUUAAAAAGCUUUUCAGAAUAUUACUGAGAUCAAAUAUGGCUAUAUAUGGUUAUAAAAAAGGAACACACAAUCAUGUAAUAUACAUUUUUUCAUUACAUGGCACACUCUAGCCUCCACAAAGUCAGAAUGGAUACAUGAGACAGGGACAGUUGAUGAAAUCAUGACAAAAGCUCAGCUGUGAAUCUGUCUUUAUUCUUUCAGAGUUUCAGUGUAUAGUCAUCUGCUCUGAUCUCUGAUCAGGUCUACAGCCAACUCACAAAAAAGUGUCAAAACAAAAAUCAUGUGAUCAUUUUCAGAAUACAGACAUCUCCCAUCAGCGGUAGACAAUGAACGUUUAUGUUUAGUAAAUAAUGUUUUAAUGUAUUGUUCAGAUGAUAGAAUGAAAGUAUGUGUCA
Molecule: non-coding RNA, 3503 nt
Organism: Larimichthys crocea (large yellow croaker)
Lineage: Eukaryota; Metazoa; Chordata; Actinopteri; Sciaenidae
Source: the annotation of a RefSeq genome assembly